UACGUAGGGGCCUAGCGUUGUCCGGAUUUAUUGGGCGUAAAGAGCUCGUAGGCGGCUCGGUAAGUCAGGUGUGAAAUCUCCACGCUCAACGUGGAGGCGCCACCUGAAACUGCCGUGACUCGAGUCCGGUAGGGGAGUGUGGAAUUCCUGGUGUAGCGGUGAAAUGCGCAGAUAUCAGGAGGAACACCUGCGGCGAAGGCGGGUUGCUGGGCUGACACUGACGCUGAAGCGCGAAAGCUAGGGGAGCGAACGGG
RNAcentral lists this ribosomal RNA (254 nucleotides) under uncultured bacterium. RNAcentral's name for it is "partial 16S ribosomal RNA". It matches the Rfam family "Bacterial small subunit ribosomal RNA", at positions 524 to 776 of the family's 1533-position model. The record is from RNAcentral.